UGCUGACAAACACAUUCUACCCCUGUAGGC
RNAcentral lists this non-coding RNA (30 nucleotides) under Rattus norvegicus (Norway rat). Lineage: Eukaryota; Metazoa; Chordata; Mammalia; Rodentia; Muridae. The record is from RNAcentral.